UAUGUUUUAUUGUAAGAUGCAUUUAGAAUUUUGAUUUCUGAGGUUUUAGUUUAAUUCUAAAAAAUAUAA
RNAcentral lists this transfer RNA (69 nucleotides) under Isometopus sp. RNAcentral's name for it is "tRNA-Gln". The record is from RNAcentral. Lineage: Eukaryota; Metazoa; Arthropoda; Insecta; Hemiptera; Miridae.